GGAUUCCCCUAGUAACGGCGAGUGAAGCGGGAAGAGCUCAAAUUUGAAAUCUGGCAGUCUUCGAUUGUCCGAGUUGUAAUCUAUAGAGGCGUUUUCCCGUGCCGGACCGUGUCCAAGUCUCCUGGAAAGGAGUAUCAAAGAGGGUGAUAAUCCCGUACUUAACACGACCACCGGUGCUCUGUGAUACGUCUUCUACGAGUCGAGUUGUUUGGGAAUGCAGCUCAAAAUGGGUGGUGAAUUCCAUCUAAAGCUAAAUAUUGGCGAGAGACCGAUAGCGAACAAGUACCGUGAGGGAAAGAUGAAAAGCACUUUGGAAAGAGAGUUAAACAGUACGUGAAAUUGUUGAAAGGGAAACGAUUGAAGUCAGUCGUGUUUCUUUGGAUUCAGCCAGUUCUGCUGGUCUACUUCCUUGGAACGGGUCAACAUCAGUUUUGUCCGGUGGAUAAAGGUAGUAGGAAUGUGACUUCUCCGGAAGUGUUAUAGCCUAUUAUCACAUACACUGGGUGAGACUGAGGACUGCAGCUCGCCUUUAUGGCCGGCCUUCGGGCACGUUCGAGCUUAGGAUGUUGACAU
Molecule: ribosomal RNA, 573 nt
Filed under: Trichosporon asahii
Lineage: Eukaryota; Fungi; Basidiomycota; Tremellomycetes; Trichosporonales; Trichosporonaceae
Description: eukaryotic LSU rRNA
Rfam family: Eukaryotic large subunit ribosomal RNA
Source: RNAcentral